This is a non-coding RNA of Podarcis lilfordi (Lilford's wall lizard), 69 nucleotides long. NCBI's taxonomy places the organism in Eukaryota, Metazoa, Chordata, Lepidosauria, Squamata, Lacertidae. The record is from the annotation of a GenBank genome assembly.
GGCCAUAGCUCAGUGGCAGAGCAUCUGCCUAGCAUGCAGAAGGCCCAUGUGAAAUCCCUGGCAUCUCCA